RNAcentral lists this ribosomal RNA (253 nucleotides) under uncultured bacterium. RNAcentral's name for it is "partial 16S ribosomal RNA". It matches the Rfam family "Bacterial small subunit ribosomal RNA", at positions 524 to 776 of the family's 1533-position model. The record is from RNAcentral.
UACGGAGGGGGCGAGCGUUAUUCGGAAUUAUUGGGCGUAAAGGGCGCGUAGGCGGCUUGGUAAGUCAAAGGUGAAAUCCCUCGGCUCAACUGAGGAACUGCCUUUGAAACUGCCUGGCUCGAGGCCGGGAGGGGGUAGCGGAAUUCCCAAUGUAGCGGUGAAAUGCGUAGAUAUUGGGAGGAACACCGGUGGCGAAGGCGGCUACCUGGACCGGUUCUGACGCUGAUGCGCGAAAGCGUGGGGAGCAAACAGG